GGUUUUGUGGGCAAUAAAAGAAAUCAAACAGUGCAUUAAUUUUAUAUGAAUACGUGCAUGAAGGAGGCUUUUUCUACGUGUCUAAAUUUGAAACAUAAAUUCUAUGUUGAUACGUGACUAGGGGCAAGCAGUAGCCUCCAAGUAAAACUCUAGUAUAAAUAGAAGUUCAAGGCUUCAGCUUCAAACUGCUUAAACCUUUCCUCUAUGUUGCUCUCUCACACUAUAUUCUUUUUGGUUUAGUAAUUCACCCCUAAAUCCUACAAAGCCCUGCCCUAUUUUAAGUAUUGUAACCCCCGAUCACCGAUACCCUGUCCGACUGACGUAGGGCCCCGUAACGUAUGGCAAGGCUCUGCCUAAAUUCGUUGGGGUUCUGUCUCGUGACGUAGGGAUAACAUGAAAUUGGAUUACCAUACUUAAUGUGAGUGCACUAUAUAUUUUAUUAAAUAACCCAGGAGUGAUACCCGAAAUAUAACAACUCUCCAAAAACACCUCUGAUACCCUACACUUCCUAAAAUACACCCCGUAUGUGAAAACCGAGCCCGGAAUACAAUAUAGCAUUUAAAAUAAAUUAAAAACAAGAAAAUAUAAGUUUACGCGGGCCGCGUAAAGAUCCUCGCUUAGUUAACGCGGGCCGCGAGAGGUUAGAAAGGUGGCGCAGCCCUGGGCCGCCACGUGGCAACACCCGUCAAGCCUAUACCUCAACUCAGCAUAGCUAUACGUUGACUUUGGGUCAACGCGGGCCGCGUAAGACCUGUUCUUAUUUGACGCGGGCCGCGAGAGAGUUCAGUAUCAGCCCUAUAAAUUGGAUCGUCGAGCCUUCAGUCCGAUCGUUCAUUUCUUUCUUUCUCUCUCUUAAUUUCUGAGUAGUAGAAGUAAUACCCGGGUAUAAUGCCCCCCUAAUUAGCGAAGCUCUGCCUCGUUACUAUAACCAGGGAAUCACAAAGGAAAGCCCUAUAAUAGCAAUGUAACUUAGUGUGAAGCCAAUAAAAGCCAGCUGGAGAGCACUGAAGGCUUGGGAAAGUGGCAAUAAAGUUACCUAAAAUAAAAUAGAUGUUUUUAUUAAACAAAAUAGGAUUUAUUCCUAUGAAAAUGUGUGUACUACAAACUUGGGUUUUACCCAUGUGUUUAAUAUUAUGAAAAUAUGGUGGUUUUACUCUGAUAAAAAUA
This is a long non-coding RNA of Helianthus annuus (common sunflower), 1167 nucleotides long. RefSeq lists it as uncharacterized. The record is from RefSeq and is a predicted model, not a curated record. NCBI's taxonomy places the organism in Eukaryota, Viridiplantae, Streptophyta, Magnoliopsida, Asterales, Asteraceae. The transcript has 3 exons.